RNAcentral lists this ribosomal RNA (430 nucleotides) under bacterium. RNAcentral's name for it is "partial 16S ribosomal RNA". It matches the Rfam family "Bacterial small subunit ribosomal RNA", at positions 355 to 776 of the family's 1533-position model. The record is from RNAcentral.
UGGGGAAUAUUGGACAAUGGGCGCAAGCCUGAUCCAGCCAUGCCGCGUGUGUGAAGAAGGCCUUUUGGUUGUAAAGCACUUUAAGCGAGGAGGAGGCUACUUGGAUUAAUACUCUAGGAUAGUGGACGUUACUCGCAGAAUAAGCACCGGCUAACUCUGUGCCAGCAGCCGCGGUAAUACAGAGGGUGCGAGCGUUAAUCGGAUUUACUGGGCGUAAAGCGUGCGUAGGCGGCUUCUUAAGUCGGAUGUGAAAUCCCUGAGCUUAACUUAGGAAUUGCAGUCGAUACUGGGAAGCUAGAGUAUGGGAGGGGAUGGUAGAAUUCCAGGUGUAGCGGUGAAAUGCGUAGAGAUCUGGAGGAAUACCGAUGGCGAAGGCAGCCAUCUGGCAUAAUACUGACGCUGAGGUACGAAAGCAUGGGGAGCAAACAGG